GUCGUUAUUUCCUCGUUGGCUUACGAGGUAUUUACGACGAUUGCUCAUACGUGGUAUUUACGACGAUUUCUCAUACGUGGUCGUUACGACGAGUUGUGCUUACGUGGAAUUAACGAGCCCCGCAUUCUUUAUUUUUAAAUUUCGUCGUUAUUUCGUCGUUGGCUUACGAGUCCUUUACGACGAUUUGUGCUUACGUGGAAUUAACGAGUAUUAUGUUUAAAUCCCUAGAAUCCGAAACCCCAAACCCCAUAUUCUUUAUUUUCUACUUCAUAUAUUCCAAACCCCAUCUUUAUUUCCAUUCCAAACCACAAUUCCCACAUUUGCUUAUUCAUAAAACAAACUCCCACAUUACCUUAUUCAUAAAACAAACCCCACAUUAUCUUAUUCGUAAAACAAAC
RNAcentral lists this long non-coding RNA (398 nucleotides) under Brassica napus (rape). RNAcentral describes it as "long non-coding RNA (BNAP_LNC024015)". The record is from RNAcentral. Lineage: Eukaryota; Viridiplantae; Streptophyta; Magnoliopsida; Brassicales; Brassicaceae.